GGAAAGAUGCUCGAGUGGCUGAAGAGGCACGCCUGGAAAGCGUGUAUACGUCAAAAGCGUAUCGGGGGUUCGAAUCCCCCUCUUUCCGCCC
Molecule: transfer RNA, 91 nt
Filed under: Prevotella sp. P3-122
Lineage: Bacteria; Pseudomonadati; Bacteroidota; Bacteroidia; Bacteroidales; Prevotellaceae
Description: tRNA-Ser
Rfam family: tRNA
About the family: Transfer RNA (tRNA) molecules are approximately 80 nucleotides in length.
Source: RNAcentral